Molecule: ribosomal RNA, 253 nt
Filed under: uncultured bacterium
Lineage: Bacteria
Description: partial 16S ribosomal RNA
Rfam family: Bacterial small subunit ribosomal RNA
Source: RNAcentral
UACGGAGGGUGCGAGCGUUGUCCGGAAUCACGGGGCGUAAAGGGCGCGUAGGCGGCUUGGGAAGUCCGUGGUGAAAGCUCGUGGCUCAACUGCGAGUCGGCCAUGGAUACUCCUAAGCUCGAGCACUGUAGAGGCAGGUGGAAUUCCGGGUGUAGCGGUGGAAUGCGUAGAGAUCCGGAAGAACACCGGUGGCGAAGGCGGCCUGCUGGGCAGUAGCUGACGCUGAGGCGCGACAGCGUGGGGAGCAAACAGG